GAUUUGUGGUGUAACGGCUAGCACACAAGGCUUUGAUUCUUGUGGAAGAGGUUCGAUUCCUCUCAAAUCUA
This 71-nucleotide transfer RNA is filed under the name Kordia sp. TARA_039_SRF. RNAcentral's name for it is "tRNA-Gln". It matches the Rfam family "tRNA". From Rfam's summary of the family: Transfer RNA (tRNA) molecules are approximately 80 nucleotides in length. Their secondary structure includes four short double-helical elements and three loops (D, anti-codon, and T loops). The record is from RNAcentral. Lineage: Bacteria; Pseudomonadati; Bacteroidota; Flavobacteriia; Flavobacteriales; Flavobacteriaceae.